Molecule: non-coding RNA, 1593 nt
Organism: Misgurnus anguillicaudatus (oriental weatherfish)
Lineage: Eukaryota; Metazoa; Chordata; Actinopteri; Cypriniformes; Cobitidae
Source: RefSeq, a predicted model, not a curated record
GUGGGUCUUUGAAUUUAAAUAAAAUAAACAUGUAUAUGCAACACAAAAUAUUUAUAUUCCUUGUGUAAACAUAAUUUAAUUGAUUAGGAUGAAAAUGUUUUGUUUGAAUAUAAAAUGAACACAUUAUUCUCAUAUUGAUUAAAAUUGAUUGAAUUGAAUACUUAAUGCAAUAAAAUUGAGUUUGCAUACAAAAUGGCACCUCCUGAGCAGAAGGUGGCAGUAACGCUCAAUGAAAAGGACGUCAACUGCCAUAAAAGAAGAAUAAACAUCGUUUGUUUUGGGCGCCAAAAUGAGCAGCAGUCAGUCAGAAGAACUCUCUCAGACGGACACCACGUUAUUAAAGUAAGUUCUAUUAUUUAUUUAUGUUCACUUUAUACGUGAUACAUCUUCACUAGAUAGACAGUUUUUUUUACAAUAUGUAGCCAUUGCAAUGACUUGUAGUAAAAAUUAAUUUGGAGGAGGUUGGUGGAGUAAGUUAACGUUACAGUCAGUCAGUCAGUAAAUGUAAGGCUCAUAAAACAGCGUUUUAAAAAUGUCAGCUGUAUAACGUUAUUUCACGUUUGGUAGUUUUAUCCGAGUUGAAAACUGUCAGCUUUGAGUUGACUUUUGAGGCACUUUUUACUCAGCUGUUCUAUGGAAACGGUUCAGGACAAAUAAAACGCUAACCAAACGUUAUUCUGUCCAGAGUAACGUUAUCCAUGUAAGUAAUUUACCAGAUGAUAUCAAUUGACUACAUUAAUAAUGACAUUGCGUAUUAAACAAACUGUCUGCUUAAUCAGAUGAACAGACCCGCGUCAGUUAUUCAUGACUUCGCUACGCCACGAGCAACACUUGAUUCUAUUAGAAAAAGCUUUUUGAAAUGUCUCGCGUGACGUCUGAUAUAUUCACUGAAACAAAUUGCUUUGAAGUGACCACACCUUAAAGCUGACGUUUUCAGAAGAGAACCUUGUUGUUUUAAGAUCUAAUUUUGUCCAAAUUUUGUAUGACUGAUAUAAUACUUAUUUCAUUAUUGCUCUGUGUAUGUGUGACCUUCAUCAUUUGAGGUUAUGUGUUGAUUUCACCUCUGAAUAUUUCCUCUUAUAGGUCCAUCAUCCUUUCAUGCGCUACACAGCAUUGAUAAAUGCUGAAUUUAAAAGAAUCACUACUGUCUAAUGUUCCUGCGUGUCACCUGGACCUCCAAUCCAAAAACCUGACGAAACUCUUCUAUCAGAAAGGAGGACAGCUAGCAAAAAGACUUCAAACAAUUAAUGAUCAAAUGACAGAAGGCAUGGAUGAAGUCAGCAUCAGUGAGGUCAUUUGAAGACACCAAUGUUGGGAUUUGUGCUCUCAAACAACAUGCUUCUUGAAGAAGAGGAUCUUUGUAGUCCUGGAAGGCAUGAAGGUGUUGCAACAUCGUGCCAUGUUGUUUGAGCUGAUAUGCCUUAAACCUGACAUAUCCUGAUCUCCGCUUUAUUUUUGAGGAAAUCCAAAAGAUUUUAAUGGAACUGCAUUGAGCGUAACUUUAACGAACAGUUUCUUUCAGUGAAAGGAUCAGAAAGACUGUGCUGCUCAUUUAUGUUCUUUUUAUUUAUCUGUUUUAAGUGUUUUCUCUUA